UACGUAGGGUGCGAGCGUUGUCCGGAAUUAUUGGGCGUAAAGAGCUCGUAGGCGGUGUGUCACGUCGGCCGUGAAAACCUGCAGCUUAACUGUGGGCGUGCGGUCGAUACGGGCGUCACUGGAGUUCGGCAGGGGAGACUGGAAUUCCUGGUGUAGCGGUGAAAUGCGCAGAUAUCAGGAGGAACACCGGUGGCGAAGGCGGGUCUCUGGGCCGAUACUGACGCUGAGGAGCGAAAGCGUGGGGAUCAAACAGG
RNAcentral lists this ribosomal RNA (254 nucleotides) under uncultured bacterium. Its description in RNAcentral is "partial 16S ribosomal RNA". It matches the Rfam family "Bacterial small subunit ribosomal RNA", at positions 524 to 776 of the family's 1533-position model. The record is from RNAcentral.